RNAcentral lists this ribosomal RNA (496 nucleotides) under uncultured bacterium. RNAcentral describes it as "partial 16S ribosomal RNA". It matches the Rfam family "Bacterial small subunit ribosomal RNA", at positions 31 to 507 of the family's 1533-position model. The record is from RNAcentral.
GAACGCUGGCGGCGUGCUUAACACAUGCAAGUCGAACGGGCCCGCCCCUGUUUUUGGGGGUGGGUUGAGUGGCGAACGGGUGAGUAUCACGUGAGUAACCUGCCCCCUGCUCCUGGAUAACUGCUUGAAAGGGCGGCUAAUACGGGGUGUGCCGGCUGGUCCGCAUGGGCCUGGUCGGGAUAGUUUCAUCUUCGGGUGUUUCGGUGGGGGAUGGGCUCGCGGCCUAUCAGCUUGUUGGUGGGGUGAUGGCCCACCAAGGCGGUGACGGGUAGCCGGCCUGGGAGGGUGGGCGGCCACACGGGGACUGAGACACGGCCCAGACUCCUGCGGGAGGCAGCAGUGGGGGGUAUUGCACAAUGGGCGGAAGCCUGAUGCAGCGACGUCGCGUGAGGGAUGGAGGCCUUCGGGUUGUGAACCUCUUUCUCCGGUGGUGAAGGCCCUGUCCGUUGCGGCGGGGUUGACGGUAGCCGGGUAUGAAGCGCCGGCUAACUACGUG